This 496-nucleotide ribosomal RNA is filed under the name uncultured bacterium. RNAcentral describes it as "partial 16S ribosomal RNA". It matches the Rfam family "Bacterial small subunit ribosomal RNA", at positions 29 to 507 of the family's 1533-position model. The record is from RNAcentral.
AUGAACGCUGGCGGCGUGCCUAAUACAUGCAAGUCGAGCGAACAGACGAGGAGCUUGCUCCUCUGACGUUAGCGGCGGACGGGUGAGUAACACGUGGAUAACCUACCUAUAAGACUGGGAUAACUUCGGGAAACCGGAGCUAAUACCGGAUAAUAUAUUGAACCGCAUGGUUCAAUAGUGAAAGACGGUUUUGCUGUCACUUAUAGAUGGAUCCGCGCCGCAUUAGCUAGUUGGUAAGGUAACGGCUUACCAAGGCAACGAUGCGUAGCCGACCUGAGAGGGUGAUCGGCCACACUGGAACUGAGACACGGUCCAGACUCCUACGGGAGGCAGCAGUAGGGAAUCUUCCGCAAUGGGCGAAAGCCUGACGGAGCAACGCCGCGUGAGUGAUGAAGGUCUUCGGAUCGUAAAACUCUGUUAUUAGGGAAGAACAAAUGUGUAAGUAACUAUGCACGUCUUGACGGUACCUAAUAAGAAAGCCACGGCUAACUACGUG